This 20-nucleotide small nuclear RNA is filed under the name Arabidopsis thaliana (thale cress). RNAcentral's name for it is "snRNA_05430". The record is from RNAcentral. Lineage: Eukaryota; Viridiplantae; Streptophyta; Magnoliopsida; Brassicales; Brassicaceae.
AGCGCGCGACCUAUACCCGG